RNAcentral lists this ribosomal RNA (415 nucleotides) under uncultured bacterium. RNAcentral describes it as "bacterial SSU rRNA". It matches the Rfam family "Bacterial small subunit ribosomal RNA", at positions 355 to 787 of the family's 1533-position model. The record is from RNAcentral.
UGGGGAAUAUUGCACAAUGGGGGAAACCCUGAUGCAGCGACGCCGCGUGAAGGAUGAAGUAUUUCGGUAUGUAAACUUCUAUCAGCAGGGAAGAAAAUGACGGUACCUGACUAAGAAGCCCCGGCUAACUACGUGCCAGCAGCCGCGGUAAUACGUAGGGGGCAAGCGUUAUCCGGAUUUACUGGGUGUAAAGGGAGCGUAGACGGCAAUGCAAGUCAGAUGUGAAAGGCAUGGGCUCAACCUGUGGACUGCAUUUGAAACUGUAUAGCUAGAGUGCCGGAGAGGUAAGUGGAAUUCCUAGUGUAGCGGUGAAAUGCGUAGAUAUUAGGAGGAACACCAGUGGCGAAGGCGGCUUACUGGACGGAAACUGACGUUGAGGCUCGAAAGCGUGGGGAGCAAACAGGAUUAGAUACCC